AAAAACCCUAGGGAGGAAAAACUAAGGAAAAUUUGUUGAAUUUUCAAGAAAUUGGUGACUAAAGGUAAGAUUUUUAAUAUUAAGCUUGAAAUUCAUCUUGCCCAUGCAUUCUUUUCCAUUUUCCAUGAAUUAAAUUCAAGUUUUCAUGAGGGGCAAUAUGCUGGCCAGAUUUAGAGAGAGAAAGUUGGUGAUGAAUUUAGUUGAAUUUCAAGGUAACUUAGUGUUUUUAGGUGUUUAGUAACAUUUAGUAUGAAAAUUAAGCAAGAAAUCCACAUGCCCAUUAUAGAACCUAUCUUGGCUGAAUUUUAUGGGUGAGGAUUGAUGAUGAAUUUGGUUGUUUUUCAUGCCAUUUAGAUGUAUUUGGUGCUUAGGAAUACCGAAAAUCGAAAACGGGUACCGAAAAAUUUUACUCGCGUUAGUUAGCAAUUUGCACCAUAAUGAGGGAUAUUUUGGUAAUUGCACUUAGAAUAGAUUUUUAUUGAAGUGUGUGGAAUUUUGGGGAGUACUGGAAGUGCAAUAAAUUAAUUGGAAUCGAAUUGGACGUUUAGACCGAUUAAAUAGUGUAUAGUGCGCGAUAGGCCGAACACCUCCCAUUUCAUUGCAUGCAUUCAUAUAGAACAUAGAAUAGUUUUGUGACGAUUUAGCAUAAGUAUAUUAAAUUUCCUGUUACACAUUAUGUAUAGGUGGUGAGCCCUCGGAUAAGGGCAAAGGUAUUGCACCCGAGGAUCAAGACUAGGAGUGUUGUAAAUUCCCGUCAAAGUGAGUAACCACUGUUCAUCUUAUCUAUCUAGAGUAUUUUUACAAUCGUUUUUAUGAUUUUAAGAAUAUUGAACCUAAAUGAAUUUUAUGUUUUAUGACUAAUAAUCGAUUUAAGGAAUAAGGUUUAUGACUUAUUUUACAAUUCAAUAAUAUUUUUGAAAAUGUGAGUAUGUGGAGACCAACCUUUGAUGUUGCCUAUAUAUUUAAGUUUACGUACCUACGUUUGGAAUUGAUGAUUUAUGAACUGAUACGUGAUGACAUAUAUGGCUGGGUUUUUGGGUUGUGAAAUAUAUAAACUGUUUGUUUUCCUUUGACAGGUUGGGUAGUAUUAUGUUAGCCACGUUAUGCUGUCAAAAUUUUAUUGAUUGGUGGGUUAUUUAAUUAGUCAUUGCAGUAGGCGAGUUUCCAUGGACCAGCCUAUUAGAGGGGCACGGUAAACCCCGUUAUAUUUACCUUAGUAGGAAAGGCGCGAAGGAUAUCUCCUAAGGUAUGAUAGAGUUCACUUCACGCCGAGCCACCACUUGAAGAUGAACUCUGCCAACGCCAAG
RNAcentral lists this long non-coding RNA (1307 nucleotides) under Theobroma cacao (cacao). RNAcentral describes it as "long non-coding RNA (TCAC_LNC005921)". The record is from RNAcentral. Lineage: Eukaryota; Viridiplantae; Streptophyta; Magnoliopsida; Malvales; Malvaceae.